RNAcentral lists this ribosomal RNA (220 nucleotides) under uncultured bacterium. RNAcentral's name for it is "partial 16S ribosomal RNA". It matches the Rfam family "Bacterial small subunit ribosomal RNA", at positions 57 to 305 of the family's 1533-position model. The record is from RNAcentral.
GCAAGUCGAGCGCACUCUUCGGAGUGAGCGGCGGACGGGUUAGUAACGCGUGGGAACAUACCCUUCUCUACGGAAUCGCCUCGUGAAACUGAGAGUCAUACCGUAUACGCCCUUCGCGGGAAAGAUUUAUCGGAGAUGGAUUGGCCCGCGUUAGAUUAGAUAGUUGGUGGGGUAAUGGCCUACCAAGUCUACGAUCUAUAGCUGGUUUGAGAGGAUGAUC